RNAcentral lists this ribosomal RNA (278 nucleotides) under uncultured bacterium. RNAcentral's name for it is "partial 16S ribosomal RNA". The record is from RNAcentral.
CUGCUGCCUUCCGUAGGAGUCUGGUCCGUGUCUCAGUACCAGUGUGGGGGACCUUCCUCUCAGAACCCCUACGCAUCGUCGCCUUGGUGGGCCGUUACCCCGCCAACUAGCUAAUGCGACGCAUGACCAUCCGUAGCCGGAAUCGCUUCCUUUAAACCCGAGGAGAUGCCUCCUCGGGUUUUUACGCGGUAUUAGACGGAAUUUCUUCCGCUUAUCCCCCUGCUACGGGCAGGUUUCAUACGUGUUACUCACCCGUGCGCCGGUCGCCGGCGGGAGUA